UUUUUUAUUUUUUUAAUACGAAACCGAACAGUUUUGCUAUUUGGUUCGGGCUAACCCGAACCAAAUAGCAAAUCCGUUCUGUUUCACUCUUUCAAUCCGUUCAAGUUUUAGGUUCAACCCGAACCGAACCAAAACCCGAAAUUGGUUAGGUUUGGUUCAUCCCGACCCGAACGCCCACCCCUACCUGUCGGUACUUGAUUGCAUGCCUUCUUUUUGUAGAAAAGAAUAGUGAAUUAUUAAGUUCAUCAUAUUGGUACAAAACAAGGU
RNAcentral lists this long non-coding RNA (267 nucleotides) under Citrus sinensis (sweet orange). RNAcentral's name for it is "long non-coding RNA (CSIN_LNC004333)". Lineage: Eukaryota; Viridiplantae; Streptophyta; Magnoliopsida; Sapindales; Rutaceae. The record is from RNAcentral.